GACGAACGCUGGCGGCGUGCUUAACACAUGCAAGUCGAACGGAAAGGCCCUGCUUUUUUGGGGUGCUCGAGUGGCGAACGGGUGAGUAACACGUGAGUAACCUGCCCUUGACUUUGGGAUAACUUCAGGAAACUGGGGCUAAUACCGGAUAGGAGCUCCUGCUGCAUGGUGGGGGUUGGAAAGUUUCGGCGGUUGGGGAUGGACUCGCGGCUUAUCAGCUUGUUGGUUGGGUAGUGGCUUACCAAGGCUUUGACGGGUAGCCGGCCUGAGAGGGUGACCGGCCACAUUGGGCCUGAGAUACGGCCAAGACUCCUACGGGAGGCAGCAGUGGGGAAUAUUGCACAAUGAGAGGAAGCCUGAUGCAGAAACGCCGCGUGCGGGAAGACGGCCUUCGGGUUAUAAACAGCUUUCGCCUGUGACGAAGCGUGAGUGACGGUAAUGGGUAAAGAAGCACCGGCUAACUACGUG
Molecule: ribosomal RNA, 468 nt
Filed under: uncultured bacterium
Lineage: Bacteria
Description: partial 16S ribosomal RNA
Rfam family: Bacterial small subunit ribosomal RNA
Source: RNAcentral